RNAcentral lists this long non-coding RNA (516 nucleotides) under Rattus norvegicus (Norway rat). Its description in RNAcentral is "long non-coding RNA NONRATT019459". Lineage: Eukaryota; Metazoa; Chordata; Mammalia; Rodentia; Muridae. The record is from RNAcentral.
GUUUUUCUCUUGCUCAGCUCUCAAGCUCUCGCCUUUCCUAUCAGCCUGCUGUCCUGGGCCUUGGAUCGGCUGACCUGGCUUAUCCAGUAGUGUUUACUGCUGGCUUAAACACUACACACGCUCACCAGCUGAUGGUUCCUGGGAAGGAAGGUGGGGUGCCUCUUGCUCCCAACCACCCUGCUCAUGGUGCCCAGGCUGAUCAGGAGAGACUGGUGGUGCACAUGCCUUCUGAUGGAACCCACUGUGCAGCCACACCCUCCAGCAGUGAGGACACUGAGACUGUAUCUAACAGCAGUGAAGGACGGGCCUCACCCCAUGACAUCCUGGAAACUAUCUUUGUCCGAAAAGUGGGAGCAUUUGUCAACAAACCCAUCAAUCAGGUGAUUUCUUUUGCUACUGCCUAAAGGCCUGUCUGUAUUCUUAGAGUAAGGUCCCCUGUACAGUGUCCCAUAGAACUGCUGAAAUUGCUUGCAAAAUUUAUAUGUGUGUAAGUUUGUCUUUGAAUAGAAUUAAUAA